AGGAUCAUUAUUGAAUAAACUUGAACAGGCUGUUGCUGGCUCGAGAGGGCAUGUGCACGUCUGUCAUCUUUAACUUUCCACUGUGCACAUACUGUAGAUCUUCUAGAGCUUUUGAUUGUUCAAAUCGAUAGAGGGAUUGCUGUGUUUUUCUUUUUGAAGCCAGCUUUUCCUUGUAAUCUUUAGGAUCUAUGUUUAUUUUAACAACCCUCGAAAUGUGUUUAGAAUGUUGGAAUAACAAAGUUAUAUAAUAUAUACAACUUUCAGCAACGGAUCUCUUGGCUCUCGCAUCGAUGAAGAACGCAGCGAAAUGCGAUAAGUAAUGUGAAUUGCAGAAUUCAGUGAAUCAUCGAAUCAUUGAACGCACCUUGCGCUCCUUGGUAUUCCGAGGAGCAUGCCUGUUUGAGUGUCAUUAAAUUCUCAACCACACUUAAAGUGUUGGCUUGGAUAUUGGGGGUUUUAUUUUGCAGGCUUUUGAAAGACUAGAGCCAGCUCCCCUAAAAUGUAUUAGUAGUAUCUGAGCAGAGACUACCAUGGGUGUGAUAAAUAUCUAUGCCUUGGUGCCACUGCAUGAACGGAUUACACUGCUUAUAACAACACGAACAUAUAUGACAAAUUUGACCUCAAAUCAGGUAGGACUACCCGCUGAACUUAA
This 652-nucleotide ribosomal RNA is filed under the name uncultured fungus. RNAcentral's name for it is "eukaryotic LSU rRNA". The stretch from base 256 to 409 matches the Rfam family "5.8S ribosomal RNA". The record is from RNAcentral. Lineage: Eukaryota; Fungi.